CCCUUAGAUGUUCUGGGCCGCACGCGCGCUACACUGACGAAUGCAACGAGCUUAUAACCUUGGCCGAAAGGUCUGGGUAAUCUCCAAAUUUCGUCGUGAUGGGGAUAGAUUAUUGCAAUUAUUAAUCUUCAACGAGGAAUUCCCAGUAAGUGCGAGUCAUUAUCUCGCGCUGACUACGUCCCUGCCCUUUGUACACACCGCCCGUCGCUACUACCGAUUGAAUGAUUUAGUGAGGACUUCGGACUGAGUCCAAUGCGGCUUUCGGGCUGCGUUGGUAUUUCGGAAAGAUGUCCAAACUGUAUCAUUUAGAGGAAGUAAAAGUCGUAACA
RNAcentral lists this ribosomal RNA (329 nucleotides) under uncultured eukaryote. RNAcentral describes it as "partial 18S ribosomal RNA". It matches the Rfam family "Eukaryotic small subunit ribosomal RNA", at positions 1470 to 1796 of the family's 1831-position model. The record is from RNAcentral.